CUCCAGCCGGCGGGUGCCCGCGGCGCCAGCUUUUCCGGCUUCCAGUUGCCAGGGGGCGCUGCGACACAAUAGCCCGUGCCCGGAGGGGCGGCGGCCGCGUGAGCAGGGAGCCGCGCGCCGGGUAGUGGGGACCACCGGGUGGAGCCCGGGACAGCUGUGAGUCCGCUCGAGCGGCUUUCCUUCCUCCACCGCCUCCUCCUCUCGCUCUCCGCGGGCCUCACGGUGGGGCUGCCGCGGCGACGGCGACUGAAGUCCAGGCGCCGUUAUCUGUAGCCUCCUGGCGACCGUGACAAGCAGGCGCGUGAGUUUCCUGGGCACCAGGAGCCUUGGGAGGAGACACUUCACUCCUUUCCCGCAACCCAGAGAAGCAGGGACUUGGUCUCAGCCUUUCUCGCAGCUCUGAGAGGUGCUGUUACGUCCAGUUGCACCUCCCCACCGCCCUUGGAGAGGUGUGUUUUCCCCUGGAGUAGCCCAAGGGAGCGGGCCUAGCAGGUGGAGUUUCUGUCUUUGUAUCUUUUGGCUGUUCUGGCGGGACAUCAUUGCCCAAUAAGCGCUGACCGAGUUGCCAAAAGAAAAAGAAAAGGCAGCAUUUUCAAGGAUAUACCGUAAUAGGACAAUUCACCUGGUUAUGAAUAGGGCUUGAGAAUUGCAAGAAGCGAACUUGUUGCCUGACUAGUUUAUUGCUUAGAGUAGAGGCUUUAGGCCUACUUACGCUUGAAUCUGGCAGAGAGGCCACAGCUUAUCCAGAUUACACACUGGGAUCGCCCAACCCAAACACAUUGUACACCUGGAGACAUCUUCCAGUUUGACAGAGAGCUGCUGACUUGAAUGUUUCUGUCGGCACGGCCCCAAGCCCCAACCGACAAAAAUGCUUCCGAAACUUCAUUCACCGGAAUUCUUCUUAUCAGGUCUUGUAAUGGGCUAGUCCAGUUGGGGGAAAAAUGUUGAGAAACUAAAUAAUGUAAUAGAUCGAGGAAUUUUUUUUAGAGGCUUAUAAUUUGCAUACCAUAAAAUUCACUCAUUUUAAGUGUACAAUUAUUUUUAGUAAAUUGACAGAGUUGUGCAACCGUCACCACAAUCCAGUUUUAGAAUACUUCCAUCACCCUCCCCCCAAAUUCCCAUAAGCCUGUUUGCAGUUAAUCUCUCCUCCCACCUCUAGCCCUAACAACCACUUACCUGCUUUCUGUCUCUAUAUAGUUGCUUUUUCUGGACAGUUCAUAUGAAUGGAAUCAUACACUAUAUGGUCUUUUGUGUCUGGCUUCUUUCACUUAUCGUGAUGUUUUCCAGGUUCAUCCUUGUUUUAGCACACAUCAGUACUUCGUUUGUUUUUAUGGCCAGAUAAUAUUCCAUGGUGUGGAUAUACCACAUUUGUUUCUCUCUUUAUCAGUUGAUGGACAUUUGAGUUGUUUCCACUUUUUGGUUGGCAUGAGUAAGCUUAUUGUGAACAUUUGUGUGGACAUAUAUUUUCAAUUCUCUUGAUUUCACUGCCCUGUGCUGGUGCUCUCCUAGCACCCUUAGCAGAUCCCUAUCAUAACACUUAACAGACUGCACUGUAAGCUUGGAUUCAUUCUCUGUCUCUCCACUACAGAGAGCAAGGACCAUGUUUACUUGUUCUCUGGUAUAGGAGUGGAAUUUCUGGGUCGUAUGAUAACUGUAUGUUUAACAUUUUUAGGAACUUACAGGCUGUUUUCCGAAGUGGCUGCACCAUUUAAAAUUCCCAUCUGUAAGUGUAUGAAGGUUCCAAUUUCUCCACAUCCUCACCAACACUUAUUUUGUCUCUUUUUACUUGGUAUCUCAUUGUGACGUUAAUUUGCCUAGACUGAGUGGUAUUUGGUUAGCUAGUUUUAUUUCACUUUAAUGAAUACCUUUUUAAAUUUUAAAUUUUAAAUAUUUUAAUUUGGGGCUGAAAUGAAUAAUACAUGGCCCCUCUCUGCAAGGAGCUCAUGGCUCCUUCAGAGAGACAGACAAAUAGCUAACGACAGUACAGUGUGUCAAGUGCUCUGAUGGAGUUGAGCAUGGGAUGCUAUGAGGAGCAGAGUAGAGGGACGCCUAAUCUAGGGUGGGAGGAGGAUGGAGGAAAGUAUUAAAUAAGCCUUUUCCAGAAGGGGCUUUAGUGUGCCUCUGGUUUUCUUUCAUGUACUUUCCUCAAAACUAUACAUGCACGUAGUAUUACGGAUAGUUCUAUGUGGCUUUCUAUUCUAAAAAAAAGGAGUCCCCGGCUUUCCUUGCCAUCCCUGCUCCCCCAAAAGCAGUCACUUUCUAUUCUUUUCUCUCUUUGGAUAUUUCCCUCUAUGUCUUUAAAUAGCAUAGCGUGUUUUUAUUUGAGAAAGAAGAAUAAUCAGCCCUGAUACAGGCCCCUCAUCAUCCUCACUUGCACUGAUUUCUAAAUUGGUCAGCCCCAUUAGAUAUUAACACGUGAUUAGUUAUGAAAGCCACGGUCACAAUGCAAGCUACCUUCUUGCAAUUUAAAUGAAAGAAGACAGGCAUUACCAACUGUUAGGUACUGGAGUAACUGAAGUAAGACAAGAUCAACAUUUUAAAGGAGUAGCUAAGGAGUUUUUUUCCUCAUUGGUACUUUAGUACCAUGUAACUGCAAUAAGCCAGAACCCAUUGCACCUGUCAAUUAAGAGGAACGUUAUUUUCACUCAAGCUUUUGAAGAAAAAGCCAAAUCAGAGACAAGCAGCAUGAUACAGGACAGAGGUCGGCAAAUUCUGACCCGUGAGUUAAGAAUGUUUUUUCAGAUGAACAUUUUCAAUCAGUUUGAUGAUAGGGAACACUAACUUUCAACCCCAAUUAAAGAAAAUGUUAUUCUUCUAUUCUGUUUUCUCAUUAGUAGACCUGUAUUACAAAACCUUGUAGUCAAUUAUUAUAUUUUGGAUUUCAUCUAUAAAAAAUUAUGGAAAUUUAUUUUCUCUUGUUAUAUAAGUACCUACAUAAUAUCCCUGAUUUGCGUCUUGGCCCAUAAAGCCUAAAAUAUUUACUAUCUGACCUUCACAGAAAAAGUUUUCCUACUCUUGGUUUAGUAGAAUAAACAGAGGUAUGGAAAGCAAUUGCCACAUACUUGCUGUGUAUCCUUGGGAAAUUACUUCACUUCUCUGGUCUUGAUUUUCAUUAUCUAUAAAAUGGAGAUUGAGGGUGAUAUGUGGAUGAGAUAAACUCUAUGGUGAACCCCCCACAUCCUCUUAAGUUUUUGAUUAAUUAGUUAAUUAUACAAAUAUUUACUGAGCUACUACUAUGUACCAAGAGCUGUUCAAGGCUUGGGGAUACAGCAGCAAACAAAAUUCCUGUCCUGAGAAAGAUACUAUUCUAAAUGAAAAGAGAUUAAAGAUGCAAUGAGUGGUCUGAGAUUGAAUCCUGACUUGAACAAACUAGCUUUAUACGACAUUUUGGGGGAAACUAGGGAAAUUUGAAUAUGGAUGGGUGUUAGAUGAGAUGGAAACAUUAACAUGCAAUGGCGGAGGUCAUUAACUGAAAACAGCGGUUACAAAGCAUUAUGUACAUAUAUUAUCUCAUUUUGGUAGAAAAUGUAUCUAUGUGUCAUAUAUACCGAGGAAAAGAUCUAGAAGGAUAUAUACUAAGCUGUUAACAGUGGUAAUUUCUGGGCAGUGGGAAAAUAAUGUUUUUAUUUACUUAUUUUUGUUUUCUAAUUUUUUACAAUGAACAUAUACUGCUUUUGUAAAAAUAAAAGGUUCUAAUUUAAAAAAAUAAUCUCUCUUUUCAUGGAGCUUACAUGCUACUGCCUCUUGUAAAUAUUAAUAUUGACAAUCUGUCACUUUUUCUGGGGGACACAUGGAAGAAUGUAGAGUGCCCCGCCUCCUGCAGGUAACAAAGGAUCAGGGCGUUCUCUGUGAAAUAACUGCAGAAUAUGAACUGAUGCUGCUGGCAUUUCCCUUGGAGUUUUACUGGUGAGUAGAGCUUUCUUAUCCCCAAGGCUUUAGAAUGGGGUGGACUUUUGUAGAGUGGUCAGUAUUAAAAGGGAGGGACUAGAGAGGCAAACGUUGGAGUGUCCAUCUAAGCACUGUUCAGGAGAGAAUAUACCCAAUCUGAUACGGAGGUAGAUUUAUCUCUGUAGCAUUGAUGGAUACAUCAGGCUGUGAAAGCCUGAUGCGAUUAAGCAUCUGAAGCAUGUAACUACUUUUGUUCUUCUAGGCCAGGAGUCUGCAAAGUAUGGCCUAGGAAUGAAAUCUGGCCUGCCAUCUAUUUUAAAGUCUUAUUGUAAAUAAAGUCUUACUGGAACACAGCCACACUCAUUUCUUUAUGUAUUGUCUAUCACUGCUUUUGCCCAACAGCGGCAGAGUUGAGUAGUUGUGACAGAGGCCAUAUAUUACCCACAAACCCCAAAAUACUUACUAUUUGGCCCUCUAAAUAAAAAGUUUGUGGAUCCUUGUUCUAGGCCCACCACAAAACUGUCUCAGGAGGCACACCUGUGGGGAGGGAAUGCCCACUCUACAGUUAAAUGAACAUUCUGAUUUAUAAACUGCAUUCUCUCCUGAGCUUUAUUAGCAGCUGUCAGUAUUCCGAAUUCCGGAUGACUCGGUUACUUACAAGAUUGGAUUUCUUAUCCUGCAAAGCUGAGGUGAAGGCCAGACCCUAGAAAAACAGAAAAUUCAUCAAGGCUCAGUUCAAGAACCACCCCCUCCAAGUUGUCUUCCUGGAUUUAUUCAGCCCAAAGUUAUCCUUGUCUUUCCUGGGACAUGUCAGCAUUCUGGACAGAAGAAACCAACAAGCAAUGGAGAGGCCACAUCAAGCAGCUAGAAUCUCUGCAGCCCAGUGUUCUGUUUGAUGGGCUUCUAGGGGCUGUUCAAAGGGAGAUACCAGCAGCCUGGAAAUUCCAAAUGGAAGGCAAUGAUCAUGGGCAGUUGAUGCCUUCUCCAGGGUGGUGACAGUGGUGUUUUUGCCAGAGCAGCACCAACGGAUCCCUCAAGACUUUGUUAUGGAUUUUGUCUCUGGGAACACAGACUCUGCUUUUCAAGAUGAUUCUCUCUCUACCAUUGUAUUGGUUCCUCCUCCUGGGCUCAGCAGCCUGGAAAUAGAAACAGCAGUGGUGGCUGAUUGUCUUGAUCCAGACGGAAGUUGUGUGGCAGAUUGCAUCAUUCACUGCUUUGCCUUCUUGGAUGACUCAGAACAUAAUAUAACCUUGUUUUGUGACUCAGAGAGGCCAUUAUGACCAUCUGCUUUUGCCUUGGACCUCUGAGGAAUAUUGUUGCUGAGCUAACAUCUGUGCCAAUCUUCCUAUAUUUUGCAUGUGGGAUGCCGCCGCAGCAUGGUUUGAUGGGCAGUGUGUAGGUCCGUGCCCGGAAUCUGAAGCCACGAACGCCAGGCUGCCAAAGCGGAGCACUCAAACUUAACCAUUAUGCCACCGGGCCAGCCCCUAUACAAAAUAUUUUUACAUUGGAUUUGGGUCUCCUUAGAGAAUGGCUAAAAGAGAG
Equus asinus (donkey) is the source of this 5430-nucleotide long non-coding RNA. NCBI's taxonomy places the organism in Eukaryota, Metazoa, Chordata, Mammalia, Perissodactyla, Equidae. The record is from Ensembl.